UAGAUGGCGACCGGCGCACGGGUGAGUAACACGUAUCCAACCUGCCGAUAACUCGGGGAUAGCCUUUCGAAAGAAAGAUUAAUACCCGAUGGCAUAAUAGAACCGCAUGGUUUGAUUAUUAAAGAAUUUCGGUUAUCGAUGGGGAUGCGUUCCAUUAGGCAGUUGGUGGGGUAACGGCCCACCAAACCUUCGAUGGAUAGGGGUUCUGAGAGGAAGGUCCCCCACAUUGGAACUGAGACACGGUCCAAACUCCUACGGGAGGCAGCAUG
This 269-nucleotide ribosomal RNA is filed under the name uncultured bacterium. RNAcentral describes it as "partial 16S ribosomal RNA". It matches the Rfam family "Bacterial small subunit ribosomal RNA", at positions 85 to 353 of the family's 1533-position model. The record is from RNAcentral.